RNAcentral lists this ribosomal RNA (495 nucleotides) under uncultured bacterium. Its description in RNAcentral is "bacterial SSU rRNA". It matches the Rfam family "Bacterial small subunit ribosomal RNA", at positions 28 to 500 of the family's 1533-position model. The record is from RNAcentral.
GAUGAACGCUGGCGGCGUGCCUAACACAUGCAAGUCGAGCGGUAUAUAGUGGAAUGAAACUUCGGUCGAGUGAAGCUAUAGAGAGCGGCGGACGGGUGAGUAACGCGUAGGCAACCUGCCCCAUACAGAGGGAUAGCCUCGGGAAACCGGGAUUAAAACCUCAUAACGCGAGGAGUUCACAUGGACUUCUCGCCAAAGAUUCAUCGGUAUGGGAUGGGCCUGCGUCUGAUUAGCUAGUUGGUGAGGUAACGGCUCACCAAGGCGACGAUCAGUAGCCGACCUGAGAGGGUAAUCGGCCACAUUGGAACUGAGACACGGUCCAAACUCCUACGGGAGGCAGCAGUGGGGAAUAUUGCACAAUGGGCGAAAGCCUGAUGCAGCAACGCCGCGUGAGCGAUGAAGGCCUUUGGGUCGUAAAGCUCUUUCGGACGGAAGAAAUCGCCGCCUCUAACAUAGGCGGUGGAUGACGGUACCGUAAGAAGAAGCACCGGCUAA